Molecule: ribosomal RNA, 498 nt
Filed under: uncultured bacterium
Lineage: Bacteria
Description: partial 16S ribosomal RNA
Rfam family: Bacterial small subunit ribosomal RNA
Source: RNAcentral
GACGAACGCUGGCGGCGUGCCUAAUACAUGCAAGUCGAACGAGAGCGACCGGUGCUUGCACUGGUCAAUCUAGUGGCGAACGGGUGAGUAACACGUGGGUAACCUGCCCAUCAGAGGGGGAUAACAUCCGGAAACGGAUGCUAAAACCGCAUAGGUCUUCGAGCCGCAUGGCUUGAAGAGGAAAAGAGGCGCAAGCUUCUGCUGAUGGAUGGACCCGCGGUGCAUUAGCUAGUUGGUGAGGUAACGGCUCACCAAGGCCGUGAUGCAUAGCCGACCUGUGAGGGUGAUCGGCCACAUUGGGACUGAGACACGGCCCAAACUCCUACGGGAGGCAGCAGUAGGGAAUCUUCCGCAAUGGACGCAAGUCUGACGGAGCAACGCCGCGUGAGUGAAGAAGGUUUUCGGAUCGUAAAACUCUGUUGUUAGAGAAGAACAAGUGCUAGAGUAACUGUUAGCGCCUUGACGGUAUCUAACCAGAAAGCCACGGCUAACUACGUG